Molecule: ribosomal RNA, 497 nt
Filed under: uncultured bacterium
Lineage: Bacteria
Description: partial 16S ribosomal RNA
Rfam family: Bacterial small subunit ribosomal RNA
Source: RNAcentral
GAUGAACGCUGGCGGCGUGCCUAAUACAUGCAAGUCGAGCGAACAGAUGAGGAGCUUGCUCCUCUGACGUUAGCGGCGGACGGGUGAGUAACACGUGGAUAACCUACCUAUAAGACUGGGAUAACUUCGGGAAACCGGCGCUAAUACCGGAUAAUAUAUUGAACCGCAUUGUUCAAUAGUGAAAGACGGUUUUGCUGUCACUUAUAGAUGGAUCCGCGCCGCAUUAGCUAGUUGGUAAGGUAACGGCUUACCAAGGCAACGAUGCGUAGCCGACCUGAGAGGGUGAUCGGCCACACUGGAACUGAGACACGGUCCAGACUCCUACGGGAGGCAGCAGUAGGGAAUCUUCCGCAAUGGGCGAAAGCCUGACGGAGCAACGCCGCGUGAGUGAUGAAGGUCUUCGGAUCGUAAAACUCUGUUAUUAGGGAAGAACAAAUGUGUAAGUAACUAUGCACGUCUUGACGGUACCUAAUCAGAAAGCCACGGCUAACUACGUG